RNAcentral lists this ribosomal RNA (610 nucleotides) under uncultured bacterium. RNAcentral's name for it is "bacterial SSU rRNA". The stretch from base 1 to 522 matches the Rfam family "Bacterial small subunit ribosomal RNA", at positions 338 to 873 of the family's 1533-position model. The record is from RNAcentral.
CCUACGGGAGGCAGCAGUGGGGAAUCUUGCGCAAUGGGCGAAAGCCUGACGCAGCCAUGCCGCGUGAAUGAUGAAGGUCUUAGGAUUGUAAAAUUCUUUCACCGGGGACGAUAAUGACGGUACCCGGAGAAGAAGCCCCGGCUAACUUCGUGCCAGCAGCCGCGGUAAUACGAAGGGGGCUAGCGUUGCUCGGAAUUACUGGGCGUAAAGGGAGCGUAGGCGGAUAGUUUAGUCAGAGGUGAAAGCCCAGGGCUCAACCUUGGAAUUGCCUUUGAUACUGGCUAUCUUGAGUGUGGGAGAGGUAUGUGGAACUCCGAGUGUAGAGGUGAAAUUCGUAGAUAUUCGGAAGAACACCAGUGGCGAAGGCGACAUACUGGCCCAUUACUGACGCUGAGGCUCGAAAGCGUGGGGAGCAAACAGGAUUAGAUACCCUGGUAGUCCACGCUGUAAACGAUGAGUGCUAGUUGUCGGUCGAGGCGAUGCGUCGUCGGUGACGCGAGCUACGACAUAAGACACUCCGCCGUCGGGAGGUACGGUCGCGAGAAUUAAACUAACGAAAGAAGUUAGUACGGCGUGAGACGUAGCCGACGGACGACGACGAGGGAGGAGG